This 330-nucleotide long non-coding RNA is filed under the name Penaeus japonicus. Its description in RNAcentral is "uncharacterized LOC122242545". The record is from RNAcentral. Lineage: Eukaryota; Metazoa; Arthropoda; Malacostraca; Decapoda; Penaeidae.
UUGGAGGUAUUGGAGUAGGAGGAGGAGGAGGUGUGGUGGGAGGUCUAGGGGGCGUGUCUGGCCUGGAAGUGCAGGAGCCACGCCACGCCCCUCAGGAGGCCCUCACGCUCAUCCAAGGCGACCUCGUUCCUCACACCAACUUCACGCACACGUUCCUCAAGUCGAUUCUCACGUCGAUCGACAGCAAGGAUCCAGUGGUUGCAAAUGCCUGGCUGGAGACGCUGCUGGAUGUGAUCGACCUUCUGCCAAAGGAAGUUAUCAAAGACGAGAUCCUAACAUUGGCAGUAAGCAAAGGCCAGUCACAGCAAGUGUCCGCUCGCCUGGACAUGU